Molecule: long non-coding RNA, 217 nt
Filed under: Helianthus annuus (common sunflower)
Lineage: Eukaryota; Viridiplantae; Streptophyta; Magnoliopsida; Asterales; Asteraceae
Description: hypothetical non coding rna
Source: RNAcentral
GUGGUUGGUGAGCAAUCGUCCAAACCGAAGUCGACUAAGUGGACGCCAAUCGAAGAAGAAGCCUUAGCCAAGGCUUACAUAGCCACGUCUAACAACAAGACAAAAGGUAAUAACCAAACGGGUGAUGGGUUUUGGUCCAAGGUUUUGGCGAAGUUCCUCGACCUUAUGGACCAAGGCCCGUAUCGUGAUAUCGACUCGGUGUCGUCAAACGGCAUGA